GACGGACGCUGGCGGCGUGCCUAAUACAUGCAAGUUGAGCGCUGAAGGUUGGUACUUGUACCUACUGGAUGAGCAGCGAACGGGUGAGUAACGCGUGGGGAAUCUGCCUUUGAGCGGGGGACAACAUUUGGAAACGAAUGCUAAUACCGCAUAAAAACUUUAAACACAAGUUUUAAGUUUGAAAGAUGCAAUUGCAUCACUCAAAGAUGAUCCCGCGUUGUAUUAGCUAGUUGGUGAGGUAAAGGCUCACCAAGGCGAUGAUACAUAGCCGACCUGAGAGGGUGAUCGGCCACAUUGGGACUGAGACACGGCCCAAACUCCUACGGGAGGCAGCAGUAGGGAAUAUUCGGCAAUGGACGAAAGUCUGACCGAGCAACGCCGCGUGAGUGAAGAAGGUUUUCGGAUCGUAAAACUCUGUUGGUAGAGAAGAACGUUGGUGAGAGUGGAAAGCUCAUCAAGUGACGGUAACUACCCAGAAAGGGACGGCUAACUACGUG
Molecule: ribosomal RNA, 497 nt
Filed under: uncultured bacterium
Lineage: Bacteria
Description: partial 16S ribosomal RNA
Rfam family: Bacterial small subunit ribosomal RNA
Source: RNAcentral